RNAcentral lists this ribosomal RNA (440 nucleotides) under uncultured bacterium. Its description in RNAcentral is "partial 16S ribosomal RNA". It matches the Rfam family "Bacterial small subunit ribosomal RNA", at positions 338 to 795 of the family's 1533-position model. The record is from RNAcentral.
CCUACGGGAGGCAGCAGUAGGGAAUAUUGCUCAAUGGGGGAAACCCUGAAGCAGCAACGCCGCGUGGAGGAGGAAGGUUUUAGGAUUGGAAACUCCUUUUGUUAGAGAAGAUUAUGACGGUAUCUAACCAAUAAUCACCGGAUAACUCCGUGCCAGCAGCCGCGGUAAUACGGAGGGAGCAAGCGUUACUCGGAAUCACUGGGCGUAAAGAGUGCGUAGGGGGGGUAAUAAGUCAGAUGUGAAAUCCUGUAGCUUAACUACAGAACUGCCGUUGAAACUGUUACUCUCGAGUGGGGGAGAGGUAGGUGGAAUUCUCGGUGUAGGGGUAAAAUCCGUAGAGAUCAAGAGGAACACUCAUUGCGAAGGCGACAUGCUGGAACAUUACUGACGCUGAUGCACGAAAGCGUGGGGAGCAAACAGGAUUAGAUACCCUUGUAGUC